AGUGAACGCUGGCGGUAGGCCUAACACAUGCAAGUCGAACGGCAGCACAGUAAGAGCUUGCUCUUACGGGUGGCGAGUGGCGGACGGGUGAGGAAUAUAUCGGAAUCUACUUUUUCGUGGGGGAUAACGUAGGGAAACUUACGCUAAUACCGCAUACGACCCACGGGUGAAAGCAGGGGAUCUUCGGACCUUGCGCGAUUGAAUGAGCCGAUGUCGGAUUAGCUAGUUGGCGGGGUAAAGGCCCACCAAGGCGACGAUCCGUAGCUGGUCUGAGAGGAUGAUCAGCCACACUGAAACUGGGACACGGUCCAGACUCCUACGGGAGGCAGCAGUGGGGAAUGUUGGACAAUGGGCGCAAGCCUGAUCCAACCAUACCGCGUGGGUGAAGAAGGCCUUCGGGUUGUAAAGCCCUUUUGUUGGGAAAGAAAAGCAGCAGGUUAAUACCCCGCUGUUCUGACGGUACCCAAAGAAUAAGCACCGGCUAACUUCGUG
Molecule: ribosomal RNA, 492 nt
Filed under: uncultured bacterium
Lineage: Bacteria
Description: partial 16S ribosomal RNA
Rfam family: Bacterial small subunit ribosomal RNA
Source: RNAcentral